RNAcentral lists this transfer RNA (70 nucleotides) under Rhynchortyx cinctus (tawny-faced quail). RNAcentral's name for it is "tRNA-Val". The record is from RNAcentral. Lineage: Eukaryota; Metazoa; Chordata; Aves; Galliformes; Odontophoridae.
CAAGACGUAGCUAUAAACCCAAAGCAUUCAGCUUACACCUGAAAGAUAUCUACAACUGAGAUCGUCUUGA